This 439-nucleotide ribosomal RNA is filed under the name uncultured bacterium. RNAcentral's name for it is "partial 16S ribosomal RNA". It matches the Rfam family "Bacterial small subunit ribosomal RNA", at positions 339 to 795 of the family's 1533-position model. The record is from RNAcentral.
CUACGGGUCGCUGCAGUGAGGAAUAUUGCACAAUGGGGGGAACCCUGAUGCAGCAACGCCGCGUGGAGGAUGACGCAUUUCGGUGUGUAAACUCCUUUUAUAUGUCAAGAAAAUGACGGUAGCAUAUGAAUAAGCACCGGCUAACUCCGUGCCAGCAGCCGCGGUAAUACGGAGGGUGCAAGCGUUACUCGGAAUCACUGGGCGUAAAGGACGCGUAGGCGGGUUGGAAAGUCAGGUGUGAAAUCCUACAGCUUAACUGUAGAACUGCACUUGAAACUUCUAAUCUAGAGUAUGGGAGGGGGAGAUGGAAUUAGUGGUGUAGGGGUAAAAUCUGUAGAUAUCACUAGGAAUACCUAAAGCGAAGGCGAUCUCCUGGAGCAUUACUGACGCUAAGGCGUGAAAGCGUGGGGAGCAAACAGGAUUAGAUACCCUCGUAGUC